GAGGUUUGCUCGGAAGCGCGGGUCUCGGGGGUCUGGCGGGCGGGCGAGAGCGCCGAGCGGCCUCCCGGGCUCCGGCCGGCGUGGCCGCGCUCGCCGAGAGGGCGGGCGGCGGAGCCCGUCACGGAGCAGACACCUGCUCGCGCUCGCCGCCCACGCUCCGGCGGCGGGCGCUGGCUCGCGCUCCCAUCUGCGGCGCGGGCUGCCAGCACGCCCGCCUCUGCGCGGCCCCCCGCUCCUUCUGGGCGGCCGCCUGGGGGCUGGGGGCAGCCGCAGGGCUAGUGGUGUGCCCGGGAGCCCUAGACCCGAGGGCGAGCGGCAGAAGCGAGUUUGAGCCCGGCGUCGUUGAAGUUUAAAAUACGCCGUGCGAGCUGCUUCCGAGGCGGACCCCGCCUCCCCCGCCCGCGGGACCACAGCCUGCGCCGCCACCCGCCCAGCCAGGAAGCCGCCUGUGGGCUGGGGUGAGGAAAGCACGCCAGGCGGUGGCAUCCCCGUCCCUGCCCCCUCUCCGCCCCAGGGACCAAGGCAAGCUGAGCCUCUUGCAGGGACUGUGCAGCCGCCGGGGCGGGGCUGUGGCCUCUCCCGGAGAGCUCCGGGCCCCUGGCCGGCGCCCCGCUGCCCCGCCCCCUGCCCGUUUGUGCGGGCUCACCGCAGCUGUCGGAGCCGGAGGCGGUGAUAACGGAGCUUUAGGCAAACCAGAGAUUGUAUCUUCUCCUUUGGACAGGCGAAUAGUGAGACAAAAGUCACUGCCCUCCUGCGGGCUUUCUCAGCCUGCGCGACUGAAAGGGCUAAUGCAAGUGGCCUUUCCCACUCAUCGCAGAAUGGGUAAAGGAGGGAACUGUUUUAGAGGCCGCCAGCUCUACCAGCAUCUAUCCGAUGGUUCCUUCUGGCAUACCUAAAGCCAGCCAGCAACAAGAGUAAUGAUAAUCCCACCGGCCAGAGGCUGUGUGGGGGUGGGGCAGAUGACUGAAUGGCCUCCUGUCACUGGCCUGCUCUGAAUCCGCUGGAGGAGCGCCAGCUCAGCAGCCCAGGCAGCUCUUCCUGCCUCUCUCCACCCGGUGCCCCUGCUUCUGUCUGCAGGAGUGGCCCUCCCUGCAGGCUUCCUUCCGCUUGGGCUGGCCCAUCCUGUUGAUCUGUGUCUGAAGGGUCGGAGCAGCUGGCCCGGGCACCUGCUGCAGCUCAGGAAGCUCUUGUGUGCCCAGCGGCAGGCCUGCCCGCCUUCCUGUCAGGGAGCCGCCUCCGGAGGACCACAGCCCGACCCACCAAGCCUGAACGUGUGUCUUGGAGAAUGCGGGGCCUGCUGGCGUAGUGUUCCCACUCCCACCCCGCGUGCUGAGUUGAAGGGAGCAUUCAGGACUUGGAGUGAUCAGAGCAGGACAGAGAAGAGAACGGGGUAGGAGGAGCAGGGUGGCGGCGGCACAGUUCCUGGAGAUUCAGGGAAAGCCCAGGUACUUCAGACCCGACAUCACUAAAUCUAAAACUCCUGUUUCUGUGCGGUCUGAAGGGCUGCUCUUUGCCGGUCCAGCCGUUAUCCCCUCCCUCAAAAUUUAAGAGGGAUCCAGUCAGUCCCACCCAAGGCAGCUUUGCCCCAGAAACACCUAUUUACUGUCUGUUUUGCAAUGUUGCUCGUCUGCCUGAUUUCAGCCUCUUCCCUUAGCCCCCCCUUUUUUCUCUUAUGAGACAGAGUCUCUGUGUAGCCGUGGCUUGCCUGACCCUUGGUAUGUAGACCAGGCUGCUCCUUUAAUUCAAGACAACUCUCCUGCCACAGCCCCCCAAGUGCUGGGAUAAUGGGCACUGGUUUACUGCUUUCACCUCUUGCUUGGAUGAAGCUAUUUCUGUAAUCCUAGGACGUCCACCCACACCCCAGCUGUUUCCAGGGCCCAGACUCCAUGCUUAAAACUAAGAUCUGAUCACAAUACUCCCUGCUUGAGUAAAUGACCUUUGCCUGCUAUCAGGAGACCCUCCAUUAGCUGGGGUCUCCAGGUGUCUGCUCAACCUUCCCAACGUUCUGUAAGUUCUUUCCUGCCCAGAGCCAGAAAACUGUGCCACAUCCCAACUGAAUAGACACUUGUUCGUGCCUCCAUUCAUGUGUCCACCUCAUUCAGCAAAUGUUAGUGAGCAUCUGUGUGUUCUAGGCUGGACAGUAGCUUGCUCUUCCUACCUUCCAAAUACUGGGAUUACAGUGGUGUGUCACCACAGCCUGCUUUACAUUAAGGUUUAAAGUUUAAUCCCAGUAUUGGGGAGGCUAAUACAAGAUUGGCAUAAAUUCUGAGACCAGUCUGAGCUACAUAGUGAGUUUCAGGUAGAGACUUACUACAAGGAAUUUGCAGGCUAUGGCGCAAAGAAAGGCUAGACUGUCCUGGAAGAUAUAUAUAUAUAAUUUUAUUUUAUUUUUUUAAGUGAAGGGUUCUUUUUUUCUUCCUGGUUUCAGGGUUCUGUCUCCUUUGCCAUGUUGGCGAAGCCUUCCUUGAUAACUCCGGGCUGAAUUAUUUGUCUGCCUAUGCCCCAGUGCACCUUCUGCUAAGGGUCAAGUGCUUAUUACAUCUUAUUACAAAACCUGUUUUAUAGCACUGAAUCCUGCCCACUCCAUCCAGAUCCAAGCUCCUAUCAGACAGUGGCCAUUUCAUAAUGUCCUCCCACAUACACAUUUAGGCAAGUCUACUGCCUCAGCCCCAAAGUGCUGAUAUGAGCUGAUAUGCCCAGUUUCAUAAUUAUCUUUGUUUAGUAUUUGUUCUUUUGUAGGCACUUAAUAUGUCUUUGUCAAUGAAGACAGAACUGUAGAUGGUCUCUGAAGACCCCAUGGGAUUGCAGACAGAAUGUGGGCCAAUACCUGAGUGGAAGUGAAAGAAACCACGGUAGUAGCAUCAUCAGGACCUGUGACUUUGCUAACAGACAUCACGGAUUUCUCUCCACACCUCAAAAUCUGUGCUGCACUGUGCAAGCCACUCUGGAUCCUUAGGUUUGUAAAGGAGCCCUGGAGUGGGGAAUGACCAUCUCAAAUGUGGAUCACUUGAUAACAGCCUACUGCUAAAACGGUUUCCUUUGCAGUCUUACAGGUCUCACUUGUCUUUGGUGGUUGUUUAGGAUUGGUGUGAGCUAUUGCCUCGUCAUGCUGCACACACAAAGACCCAGCUGUCCUUGUUUCUUAGCCCCUUUGGGUUGUCAUAACAAAAUGCUAUAAGCUGGGCAAUUUAUGAACAGCCAACAUUUAUUUCUUACGGUUCUAAGGCUGGGGUGCUCCCCAUCAAUGUACUGACAGGGUCAGUGUCUGGGAAGGACCACUUCCCAUGGACUGUCUUCUAUGGAUGAACUUCUAUGACCAUCUUUCAUGACCUACAGUUACCUUCCCAAAGGCCCUCUUUCCUAAUGCUGUCACUACAGGGGGUAGGAUUCCAACAUAAAUUUGGGGGUUCACAUGUGCCCUAAUUCCAAGUUUCUUUGAACAUGGAGAGGGUUAAAUCUGAAGUGGCAGUGAGUGUGGUCUCAAGCAGACAGCAGGAACAACUCAGAACGGUAAGACUGGGGACCCCAUUUGCAUGGGCCUUUGAUUAAUCUAAGAAUGAGCUUUGGGGCUGGGAGUGAAUUAUUUCUGGCUGUUGUUGUAAACAAAGCAUGAGGUGAGGGGCAGCUACAUGCCCUGCAGACUUGUGUGCCAAGGUCCCGCUGGGUUCUGUUGGGCUGCUCGGUUUCCGCAGUCAUGAACUGGGAAUGACAGCCAUACGAUGAAUGGAGGAAAGAAAUGAAAAGGAAAGGCCGUGACUGCGCCUACGUAUGGUGGAGGAGAAAGUUUACUGUAGACACGUGGGAGAGCACAGCCAGAGGCAGACCCAUAUGGGAGAGUCCAGAGUGGACGUGACCCUGAACCAUGUGGGAGAGGGGGAGGGGAAGGAAGAGAGGGGAGCCAGGUACAGCAGCCAGGAGGCCAAAGGUACAAAAGAAGCACAGGAGAGGGCCAGUAACCAAAAUGCCUGGAUGAUAGAGGGAGGAGUCUCUGGGGAGAGGGCAGCCCAGCCCUUGGGAUGGUUCAGGUUAGAGGGUGGAAUAUGCCAACCCUCUACCCUGAAGGACUGAGGGAUGCUGGGAGAACCUGGAGGCCAGUUCUGCUUUGAUAUAUUAAAUAGGCUCCUCAGCCACUUGUCUGGGGUUUGAAACUUAACAUAUGCAAGGAAGCCAGGGGGUGUCAGGAAGAGUUUAAAACAGUCAGUGAGGGAAAAUGUUUGUUAAAUACGGAAGCAUGGCUUCCCAAGCCUUUAUGUGUUCUGACUCUCUUGUGGAUCUUGCUAAAAGCAGAUCUUCUCUCCUCUGCCCACACUUUUGUUCUCUGUGUUAGAGAUGAACCCCAGACCUUGUGCAUUAUUGGCAAGGCUGUACCACUGAAGUACAGACCCUGGUAGGUUUUGAGGUAUAUUCAGUAUAGUUAGGGUGGCCUGGAACUUGAGAUUCUCCUGCCGGCUGAGUUGCUGUGAUUACAGAUGUGUUUAAUCACACCCAUCUUUGAAGCAGAUUUUCUUUUAAUGGGUCCAGGUCAGCUCCCAAGACUCUGAAUUUUUCUUACUCAGUGUCCUAGGUGGGACCUGAGCUGCUACAGGGGUCCAAAGAACUCUACAAUUGUUCCUGUCAGUGUAGUAUUCUUCCUGCUCCUCCGGCCUGGGAAAUCUCACUGAGUAGGAGGGAGGCAGAACUUUCAGGUGAGGCGGACUCUGCUCAGCAGGAUACUCCGGUCUUGCAUCCACAUCCCUCCUGCCUCCCACCACCAGGCAGUGCUGAGGACUGGCUAUUGCCAACUCAGGAAUGCUUCUGGCCAAGGCAGUACAGGGCACUCAAGCACAAAGAGUGGGAGCAAAGGCUGAAUGAUUUUGGGGGGGAGGGGAGGCGAGGAGAAGAGAGCUGAAUGAUUGUAUGCAGAAAAAAAGUUUGCAGUUUUGUUUAUUUUGUUUUGUUUUGAGACAGUCUUGCUGGUAGCAUUGGCAGGUCUGGUAUUCACUUAGCAGCCCCAGCCUCAAACACAUGCUAAUCAUCCUGACUCAGUCUUGUAAAUGCUGGGAUUACGGACGUGCACGACCACACCUGGACCUAUGUCAAACCUCUUGACCAUGUACAUCAGCUAGUUCUUUAACGCACAGUUCUUUAAUGCAGCCCCUUGCUGGUGGCUCUAUGCUGAUAGCUCCCCAUAUGUAAAGAGAACUUUUAUUUGCCUGCUUCAGUUGUCUCGGAGGAUUAUUGCCUCUGUCUGCUAACCUAGGCCUAGCUCUGGGAGCUUCCAGCCUCCACACAAUCUAACCUAGGCUUAGAAGGUUUCCAGUCACUGGGACUUACUGCUGAAUAAGCUCACCAACAAUUCAGCUGUUCUGGCUCAAACUUUUUUUCCCAGCUGACUGAUUCAAUCUGGCUUUUCUCUUUGCCCUGAUUUUUUAAUUGCUCUGCUUGACCUCAAACAAAUUCCAGCAAUCUGCUUAAUCUCCUGGCUCCUUCUCUGUAUCAUUCAGUCUUCACCUGAGUUCUCUCUCUGCAACCUGUCUAUUAUUGUCCUGGUAAAACUGCCUCUCCUCUCUCUCUUUCUCUCUGCAUUGCCCCUUAAGUAGCUUCCCUUUCAUCUCUCUUCUCCUGAGAGUGUAUCUUGUUCAGUCAAAUUUUCUCUGGUUCAUCCCUUUUUCUGCCACUCAAUUAGACAUCACUUUCAAACAUGGGUGCUUCCUUCUGCAAAAUAACUUUACCUUCAUUGUUUGGGAUUAAAGGCGUGUGCCACCACAGCUGGAUCUAAGCUUUUCUUUACCUGAAACUUGCUCUCUACCAGGCUGGCCUUGAACUCAGAUCUGCUUGCCUCUGCCUCCUGGAUUACAGUCAUGUUUUUAUUCCAGCUGGAUCACACAGACCUAGAAAGUCUUCAGAGCGGUCAUUUUCUGAAUUAAAAUUCCUCUACACCCAUAUGACUGAUGUGCUGCAAUUCUUCUCAGCUUCUGUCUAGGAAUGGCUCACAUCAUGGAGGACAUAAUGAAGCUAAGAGAGUGGACCUCUUUAGCACUGGUGGAAAGGGUUUGUGUUAGUAUUUAUUUACAAAUUAUGCCAUGCACACAACAGGUAUUAUAUGAAAGGUAUUUAUUGGAUGGAUGUGGAGAGAGAGAGGGAGAGAGAGAGAGAGAGAGAGAGAGAGAGAGAGAGAUGGUGUUUCCCCACCAGGAAAGAAAGAAAGGUAGAGAGAGCAAGAGAGGAGAGAGAGAGGGGGAACUAAGAAGCAGGGGUCCUUUUAUCCCAGGCCCCUGGCAGCGGCGACCAGUGAUGACACCCCAAGUGGCUAAGUACCCUAGGAGUGGGUUAGUGCAUUAGUGGGUUAGUGGGUUAGUUAGUUAGACUUGUAAAGAGCAUCAGCUGGGCCACUUCUUUGGGAAGAGUAGGUGUUACCUAUGUGCUCAGCUCGCAGAUUCCCAUGGCUUGGGUUGGCAAGUAGAAUCAUAUGAAAUUACCAGUGAUUGUGAGUGGUGGGUGUCCAUCUCCAGUGCCUUGCAGCCUUCAGGAAAACCAAAGCUGUCUUAAUCAGGUAUGGUGUGUAUUUUGCCAGGUAGGACAGACACCUGCUUCUCCUAUUGUCACUGACCCAGUGACAGCCAUGAGACUCCUCGUCCCAAAUCAGACUAUAAUUAGUAACUGCUACUGGUGAGUUCUCCAGGGGUGUUGGCCACAGCUCUCGGGAUUUCAGGGGAGCUAGCCUGGGAGAAGGAGGAGGAACAGUCUGGAGAGAGAGAGAGCUCACCAGUCACAGUGAGCUAUUUUGAUACAAAACCUAGUACAGCAGGCCUUAUAGUUGCUGAGUGUGGUGGUACAGGCCUGGUCAUUUCUGCCACUGGGGAGGCUGAGGCAAGAGGAUCAGAAGCUUGAGGCCUGCAUGGCUACCAUGUGAGUGAAGGCCAGCCUAGAAGUUUACUGAGACCUUGGCUCAAAAUAAAAAGUUAAAGACAGGUUCAGUGAGGUGGCUCGCUGGCUAAGAGCCCUUGUCACCCAGCCUGGCAGCAUGAGUUAGGUCAAAUUAUCUGCUGUUACAGAUACGAGUACCUGGCUGCAGAGAUGGCUCAGGGCUAAGAGCACUGGCUGCUCUUCCAGAGGACCUGGAUUCAAUUCCCAGCACCCACAUGGAAGCUCACAACUGUCCCAGUUCCAGGAGACCUGACACCCUCACACAGACACAGAUGCAGGCAAAACACUAAUGUACAUAAAAUAAAGGUAAAUAAUUUAAAUCUGAGUACGUGGUAGGAGAGGACCAUGAUGGCGUGCCACAAGGCUGUAACUAACACUGCCGCCAGGCUGCACCCUCAGCCCUUUCACUGUCUCAUUACCAUUUAUUAAUUUACUCUGGGCAUGCCUGUGCUACAUCAGGAGCUCAAGAUCAGUCCAGGCUAAGCAGUCCGUGUCUCAAAAACAAACAACAACAAGAAACCCAACAGACAACGCUCCACGGAUGUGCAGCCCAGAUCAAGAACAGCAGAUGGAGAUUCAGAAGUUUGAGCUUGAAGUGAAGCCUUUAGUAGCCAGCAUGGUUAAAAAGUCACCUGACUUAUUUAUCUAUUUUCCCUCUAGUUUUCUUACCUACAGAAUGAAGGAAUUGCCCUGCAAAUGUAUUUGGCCACAAACAACAUUUUUUUUUAACCUGGAAGGUCAUUCUUUUUUGCCCCUAGGAUGGUUUCUUAGCUCUGAAAUCCCAAGAAGCCAUUCAAAUGGGGUUUGAAAGGCAGGCUGACAUCCCCGCGACUAACUUUAGAAUUGUUCUGCAGUCUGGGACCCACAAACCAUUCCAGGGAGACUCUGGUUAAAGUGCUCUGGCGACUCUCCAGGGCUUUCUCUCGAGAAGAAAUGUCUCCAGGCCGGAGUGCUGGCUUAAGUGGGUAAGCGUGCGUGCUGCUCUUGCAGAGGACCGGAGCUCAGAGACUAGCACCCACCUCAGACGGGUCACAUGGCCUAUAACUCUAGGUCCCGGAGAUUUGAACUCCGUUCUCCUAGGGCACACAUCUGCACAUGCACGCAUGCCUCCACAUGGAUGCACACAGUUAAAAAUAAGAAAGACCUUUAAAAAAGAAAAAAGAAUACCUUUCUCCCUCCAUUUCACGGGACUGAGGGAGAGACAGGGGCCCCUUUCUCUUCCCUAAGUGGCUAAGGAGGACCUUGGUUCUUGCUCUCGCUCCCUCCCUGUUUCCACAUGUUAGGAUACCAGGCAGAGGCAUUGAAUAUGAAUUGCUUUCUUAAAAAAUAAGGUUUUUGGGUUUUUUUGUUUUGUUUUUAAUCAGUGAGGGGAAAGUUUGAUUAAUACUUCCUGCUGAGAUGUGAAACUCAAAGACAUUAACAUCUAAUUUCUGAAGUUUAGCAAAUCCAUGUGAAUGAGUGAAUCUGUGUGAAUGAAGAAUGAAUCUGUUGGUUUCUUAGUACACCUUUCUGCUUUCAGCACUGCGUCUUGGAUCUCGUGUGCCGUGCAGGCAUUUACAAAGCCACAUCUCCAGCCUCAGUUUGUAGUUCUUGCAGCAUCUUCCGCUUUGCUUAUGCUUGUGAAGCCCUGUAGGCGAAUGAAAUCAGGGGCAGAUUUCAUCCAGGUGUCGGGGACCACCUGUAGCCCCAGCCCUUGGGGGACUGAAACAAAGGACUAUGACUUUGAGGGUACACAGUGAGUUCCAGGAUAGCCUGGGCUACCUAGUGAGAACCUGUCUCUAAAAACGAAGUUGUUUGUGUAGCUGUUUUAUGAAACACUUAAGAUUUUAUAGGUUUGAGGCUCUUUCUUGUUGGCUAUUUCCUUCAACAUGCAUUUGCAUGUGACACACACCUUUCUCGUGCUCUGCUCUUCAGUUAUACAUCUUCAUCAGGUAUCUGCCUGCGAGCCAGUCAGUCGCCAAUAUUACUCUUCCCAGCUUCAGGCAGCUCAUACGGUAUCUGUGCUGCAUUAAGUGAAUUGUUAGAGCAGUGAGUGACACACCUACAGAGACCCAGUGCCUACAGGAGGGUGAGUGGUGGUAGCGAGGACUGGUGUUUAAUAGGGCACAAGUAUAGAAGUGAUUGUUCAUAAACACGUAUUUUUCAUUUAUUUUUUGUGUUUGUUUUCUGAGACAGGGUCUCACACAACCCAGGCGAGUCUCUGACUCACUGUGUAGCUGGAGUUGUCAAACUCUUGGCCCUCCAGCUUCUGCCUCUCAAGUGCUGAGAUUACAGACAAGGAACCAGCAUUAUACAUGACCAUCUUCAAUUUCCUGCCUUCAAGGAGCUGGUUGUUUACAGUCACGGUGCUUUACCACAGCAGCAGAAACCACACCAAGGCACUGAUCUGCCCAUUCCCAGACACGCUUUCUGCCUGGUUGGCCUAACAGCGGAUAGUUGCCAAUACCUCUUGUCAUAGUUUGCACUCAGUGCAUGGCUGUUAAAUACAUGUAUUUACUCACUCAUCAACAUUUUCAGAAAGCCUUCUACCUCUAGGCUUGGUUGUGGACACCAGGGCUUUGAAGAAGAUGAGGACAGGACAAGAAGGCACAGGAGGGGCUGUCUGCGGGGCACAUGCAGGAAUGCUUCAUUCAGCGUGGCCAUGAAUCUCAGCUGGCCUGGCACUGUGCCUCCUGGACCCUUCCUCCUCCUCCUCUGACUCUUCACAAGUCUCUGCACUGUCCACUUAAGGAGCUGGAGUGGCACCCUCAGGAGCCUUACAUUGGGGCACAGGUCUCUGUCGGGAUGAGCGUGAGAGCCUUGGUGGCUGGCCAUCCACACCUAGCAGCUCACCGGAGGGCUCGUGUUGGGGACAUCUACGCUCUCAGCUUGCUCUGAAGACCUGCAGAGUUGUGACAGCAAGAGAGAGGACGGAAGACUCGAAGUCGGGCUUGGGAGGUAACGUGAGGCAACCUCAGCACUAGGUCCCUGUCUCUGUCCUCACACAGCAGGCUCUCAAGGGAAGACUUCCACAGCAGGACCUUCAAGCUGAAUGAAUUACAACUUGGUCUGCUGUGAGCACAGAAGUUUGCAGUCUUUCCUCUGUGCCACUACCAUCUGUUGGGCAAACACACGCCCUCCCUGUGCCCUUAAGAAAAGAGGUCUAGGAACUAUUCAGCCAUUUCUGAAAAAUGUCUGCCUAGCAUGUCAGGGUAUUCUGUCUCCAUCAAUGAUUUUACUUCAAAUGUAAGUGUUGAACCCUUCAGCUUGUCACAGAUGGAGUUGCUCUUCUCAGAAACCGUCCCCUGGAUGGUUCUCAGGCCGGAAAGGCCAGAAGAUGAACUGAUACAUGAUUUAGAAAACGGCAGUAAAGCGGUUGCUGCUCUCUGAAGGUGAUCAAGACCAACUAAGUGCAGACCCAGGGUCACCAGGUUGUAACUUGCCCAGCCCUCCUCCUGGUGCCUGCAGCUCUUCCUGAGUUCUGGCUUCAGGGCCCUGGCAGCGUCAGGCCCAUGCAGGUGCCCCACCCUGCUCAGGUGGUAUUUAUGCCUACACGAGGCUCCGCCCCUCAAGGCCGACCCUCGGAGCCCCUUGGCGUCCUCCCACAGAGGUGUGCUCAGCUAGGCAUCCAGCGGCCCGCUGGCUCCUCCAGCCCGGCCUUUACCACCCAGCUCCUCCGCUGGCUGCACAGAAUCCACUCCCAUGAGACAACUCAAGGGGCUCUGCUUCUCUGAGCCCCAACCAAGCAAGAAGUGUGCCCCAUGUCUCAAACACAGCGACGCGUAGGAGCAUGUUUCCCCUUUGGAUCCAAAGAAGGGGUCACAGAAUAUCAAGAAACAUGGACAUCUGUCCACAGGGGCAGUGAACAGGCAAUGGAUCAGAUUUCCUUCUACAACUAUAGGAAAAUGGAAAAAGUGCAGUCAUGGUAACUCACACCUAUAAUCCCAGGCUGAGACAGGGGGAUUGCCAUGAGUUUAGGUUACUCUGGGUAAUAUUGUGCGUUCCAAGCAAGGCUGGGCUACAGUGUUAGCAUACAAAACCCUGCAAACAAAGGACAAAAAGAAAGUAAUGUGGGGGAAGGUAAAGGGAGAAAAGAGGCCAUGCAUGGUUCCUCAGGCUCUCCGACGGCAGCUUCAGCAAUGUGGGUAAAAGCCAUCUUUUCUUCCUGUUUAUUCCCUACCUUUCCUAUAAACCAGGUCCGACAACCUACACAGUUGGAGCCUGAGGUGCCCAUGCUCCUUCCGUAGUGAAUCCAACCUUCUUACCUGCUUACUUAGCAGCUUCCUUUUAGUGUGGUCAAGCACAGACCAGGCAAAAAGCAUCAAAAUGUACUAGGGAGGGGCCCGACUUCUUUGGUUCUGUGUGCAAAUUUUCCCUGCCGCAGAGCCAUGGGUAGCUGUGCUUUUCUGCCCACUGUGAAUGGGCCCUGCUGGGUGCCUCCUUGCUGCUGUUGUUGUAGGUUCCUGUGUACUUUAUAUCUCUGCCCACUAGACAGCAGGCACAUUUCCAACAGAGUCCCUGACCUGGUCACCUUUGGAUCCCAGUGGCCAGCAUUGCACCUGGCACAGGGGAGUAGGCAGUAAAUAUUUGUGAGGUGACGGUGUCAUGCAGAGGUCAUAUCUGGCUUGGAAGGGUUUAGAACCAUAGACCAUAUUUCUGCCUUCCUGUGUGUGUGUGUGUGUGUGUGUGUGUGCGUGUGCGUGUGUGUGCGUGUGCGUGUGCGUGUGCGCGCGCGCCAGGGACCACCCAGGAUCGGCUUGGUCUGAGGUGCCCUGAUAUGUGGUAGAUACCAUCCAGUGACAGACCAUGUCAAGGAUGAUGAGCAUGUAACACACGAGCCCUACCCACACGCCCACCCUGCUUUCCGUGAACUGUCCCAAGCCCAGAGAGCCACUACCAACUAAAGAGCUGCCAUCCACAGAGUCGCCUCUACCUCAGGGUGGCACAGAGACCCAUCUUCCUGUCCUAGGCCCACUGAGGCAUCACCAGUGUUUGAGGUUAUGGAAAGGCCCUUACCAAAGAAAGCCAAUACUUGCCGUGCCGUGGAAACUGAUGGUAAAUACUUGGUGCCAAGUUUAUGCAAGUUGAAUAAGAGACACCUAGCACACCCCCAAUCCACCCCGGAGAAACAAACAGGAAAUGCCAUCACUUUUGUGUGGGCCCUUAUCCCUGAAGACUGCCUGCACCCCUCCAGGGCAGCCAGGAGGUCCCAAAUCCUCUCCAGCUCCUAAGCCUUGGCCUUGUGCAGUGGUGAACGGACCCCACAGCGUGCCUGCUGUCAGGGGAGGCCAUGAUGCAGUGGUCGUGGGUGACCAGAGACAGCCAUGAAACUCCCUGCACCACCUCUGCCAUCUACAGACCGUGUGAUUUGGGAGGGACAAUCAACAUUUUGAGCCUCCUUUUUGUCAUCUGUGAAAGGGGAGUCAUUGUUAGUUGUGUGCACACUUCUCAUGGAGUCCCUGAGAACAGGAAGUCAUACUGGAUUGUGUGAAAACGCUUUAGGGAGCAAGGGCAGAGCUGCUGUGCCCACCUGGUGGGAAGCAGCCGCUGGUCCCCUCUGAGCUGUUUGUGGUAACAGAUGUAGAGGACCAGCAGGGGCCAGCUUGCCCCUGAUAUUCUCCACGUCACCGCCAGUUCCUCCUCACGACUACUGGAACCACACGCACAGCAGCCCCGGACCCACGUCAGACUCUGGUGGCAUUUGCAUGUAGGUCACAGACCCCUGAGGCUCUUAUGGCUCCUCACACCCAGCUAACCACAGUACAACAGUGGAAUGUUUAGAGAAAUGUUUGUGGAAUGAACAGGUGUGAAGACAGGUGAGCAGAAAGGGCUGAAGUCCCCAGUGGGGCGCUGACUGGGUUUCUGAAGAGUCCAGGUCUCUGCCCACAGGCAGUUACGGGCACACUGUAUCUGUUGCUUGUAUGGUGAAGUCUUUUGUACUUUUUUUUGUGGGGGGGAUAGUGUUUCGAGACAGGGUUUCUCUGUGUAGCCCUGGCUGUCCUGGACUCACUUUGUAGACCAGUCUGGCCUGGAACUCACAGAGAUCCACCUCCCUAAGGGCUUUGAUUACCUGUGUGAGCCACCAUGCCCGCCUGUCUUUUGUGCAUUUUAAUCAACUCAUGAAAACACUUUAAAAUAUUAAUGCAAGGUUGAGAUGUAGCUCAGCAGUACAGUGCACAUUUAGUGUUCUCAAGGACCACAGUUCAAACUCCAGCACCUCCUCAAUAAAGAAAAAAAGUUAGUAAGUCUCUUAUCACAGGAAAGCAGUGCCGUCGAAGGUUCCCAAGCUGCUCUAGCACCAAGCCUGCUCUAAGUGAUCUCAUCGGGUCCACAGAGAUCUGUUGCCAUCGUUCGCUUUCCGGGGCUGGAGGCAGCCAUGGAAAACAGGUAGCUCUGAAACCGAGGUUUGGCAGAAAGCCACUUUGAGAAGAGAGGGGCUGUGCUCAGUUUGAGUUUGGAUCCCCUGACUGUCAGUUGUGUGGGUCACCCGUACACCUGGUCCCGUGAGGAGAGCUCGUGUCCUGGCCUGUGCGGUGGCCUCUGUCUCCCGUCACCAUACGAUUCUUACUUAUCUCUCAAAACCUAAGCCAGGCGCCAGCCUUCCCCGGAGGCCUCUGAGCCACCACGCUGCGAGGCACUGCUCCACGUGAUAGCAGUUCUGGAGUGAGCCUGGGCAACCUGGCAGGAGCUGGGGCCUUUUUAAAAACUUUUUCAUUGUGAUUUAAAUUUUUUUAUUAUCAUUUAUUACAAUUUAUUCACUUUGUAGCUCGGCUAUGGCCCCCUCCCUCAUCUCCCAGCCCCACCCUCCCUCUUUCUCUAGGCCCCUCCCCUCGUCCACUGUUGGGGAGGACAUUUUAAACUGAUGGAUAGCAGGGCACAGAUGCGCACCGGCUGCUGGAGACAGAGGCCAGACAUCCCAGACACACGGCCCGCUGCCCGCACCAAUGUCCACCGUACCACGACCAAGACUCCUGCUUCGUGGUAAGAGAGGGGCUCUUUGGGUCUCCCUGAGCCCCAGGUCCAUGCUGAGCAGUGACCUUGUUGACUGAGCCUUUAGUCCCGUACACUGUGCACAUAGCCCAGACCCAUCUGCCCCUCCCCCAGGUGUCCUUAUCUAAACUUGGUAGCUGUCUCUCAAGCUGUGUUCAAGAACUAUAGACCACAUCAUGAGCUAAGAUGAGCAAGCUAAGGCCUCUGCUCUCAAUUAACCUCCUAACCGAGUAGAGAAAGAGGUCAUACAGGUAGAAAACAAGGCUGAUGGAGGACAGGCAGACGACGUUGGGGGAGCUGAUAACUAGGUUGACCCAAAAUGAAGCUGCUGACAUCUCCCGUUUAGGCUGGAAAACACUAAUCAUAUACAGCGCACCAAAUGUGGCUUAGCCGAUUCUGGCCUGGGUGGACGGUGGAGCUCAAAUUCCGCAGGAGAGGGGAGUCUCAGGAAAUGAGCUCCCAAUCUGUCUCCCCUGCUACCCCCCCCCCCCCCGCUUGCUCCCUGCUUCAUGCCUUCUCCCCUCCCCCUUCCCACACCUCCUGGGAAACAACCUUGCAUUUCUAAGGCCUCAGUCAUUUUUCUUUUUUUUGAGUGGAACUUAGGUUAAGUGAGCUAGACAUUGGCUUUAAUAUACAACUGUACUUGGAAUCUCUGGAGAAAUCUAAAAUGAAGUGUUACACAGGCAGAAAAUUAAACCUGAUUUCUUGAUGGUGACAGGUGUAAGGAAACCCAAUCCCCUCAAACCAGCAGAGGCCACAGCUUCUAGAAACUGCCAGGAGCUCAAGGCCUGAAACCUACCCAAUGGCCACCUGUGGUCAUGUGCCCUGGUGUAUCAGGCAAACACACACAUACCUGACCCACGAGCCUUGGCCACUUCCUCGCCUCGUGUUCUGGGCAGUAAAGGAUAAACAUUUCCGAGCUGGACUUAGAACUUGGCUGAGCCUUGCUUUUAAUCACGUGAAAGCCAGAACAACUCCAGAAGAAUGAACUGCUUAAAAGGGUCAAGCCUGGGCCAGUCUGACAAGAGGUCUGGCUCCGCACAGCCAUGUACCCUCACAAAAUAACGGCCCGGAAGCUCACUGCUGCCCCGUGGUGUCACCAGCGGCACCCUCUGCUGCCAAGUGCAGGCAGCCACUUGGGCACAGGUUAACAGUGACCGCUGUCACCACCACUGCCACGCACACACGCACACGCUGCCCCACGCAAGGCUGGGCAGGAGUUAGCAGCUUGCAGCCGGAAGGAAAAUAAUCUCUCCAUGGUCACAGAGGCCAGUAGCUGCCGGGCCAUGGGGUUCCACACGGUGACACUGGAUGCACACAGCAGACAGUGGAGACUCACACUGCAGGCAGCUCCUGUCUUCUCAAAUCAAACAGUGACCCCAGGACAUUUGUGUGAGUGAGAGCACUGAGUGUUUGGAUGUUGGCCUAACCGGUCAUGGCGGGCAGAACUGUGGACAGAACACUGGCCCCAAGGUGCCAGCUUCUGGUCUAAAGAAUUGUCUUAAGCAAAAUAAAAAUUCAGGUGUUACUUCCUUGGAACAAACCCCCCCCCCCAACUCUUUGGCGAUUUUUUUUCUCACAACACCUUAAUACAGUGGUCUGCUUAUAAAAAAAGAAUUCACAAAUGUAAAAUUUCUUUGCUAUUUCAUAACUGUACAUAUAUCCACAGUAAUAUUAUUCUGCAAGAGGAAGGUGUGGAAAUUUGGCUGAUUUUUGUGGAUUUUGAUUAUUUGGUAUUUGUCUGAACGUGGGGGGGAUGGGGUGUCCACCACUUUCCCAUGGCAGUGGUCACUCAGUCUUUGAGGUCACAGAACUCUUGAGGACUUAGGGGAGGGGUGAUGGGCACCGCAGCUGAAGGAGCCACGAAGGAGCCACACCCUCUGAACUCGUCACCGUAAUCCCAGUCUAAUCUGGGCUUGAGCACUCACCUGAAAUUCCAACUUUCCAGAGUAUGUGACAGGAGGAUUGCCAUGAGCUUGAGGCCAGCCUGCACUACAUAGUACAUUCUAGGCUAGUCUGGGCAGCGGAGAGAAACACUGUCAGCAGAAAAGAAUGGGGCCUGGGGAGAUGACUCCGUGGUCAACAGCGCUUGCUGCUCUUACAGAGGACUCUCGCUCAGGUCCCAAAGCGUCCAUGUCGGCUCCCAACUGUAACUCCCGUUCCGGGGAGUCGCAUGCUCCCUUCUGACUCCGGUGAGCACCACACACACAUGGUAUGCAUACAACCGUGGGGAUGUAGACAGUGGCAUAUAUACAACCAGGCAGACAUGUAAACAAAGUAAGUCAGUCUAGAGACGAACUUAAAGGCUGGGAAGCAACAGCAGAUGCCGACUCUAACAGGGUGCUGUGGCCACGGCGGCUGCUGGCCGCACGGUGGCUGCUGCCCGGACAGCUCUGCUUCCCACGUGCCAUCU
Molecule: long non-coding RNA, 16288 nt
Organism: Meriones unguiculatus (Mongolian gerbil)
Lineage: Eukaryota; Metazoa; Chordata; Mammalia; Rodentia; Muridae
Exons: 5
Source: RefSeq, a predicted model, not a curated record